CAAUCAAUUCGAAUAUAGCAUCUGAUACAAUAGAAGCAGGAAAUAGUAGUAACAGUAAUUUAACUAAUGUCGAUGAUACAUUUAAUAAAACAAAUAAAAUUAAUAUUUUGUCUCAAGAUCUUAAUGAAAUGAGUGAAUCAAGUGUAGAAUCACAAUCUGAUAAAGAAAAUAACGAGGAACAUAACGUUGAAGCACAAGAUCAUAUUUCUCAUAUAAGUAGUAUUUCUGAUUGUAGCCAUAAGACGAGUUUACAAGAAGAUUUACAAAAAUUAAUUAUUGAACGAAAUAUUGCACAUAAUACUGUUAACGAGUUACUGACUAUUUUAAGGAAACAUGGCCAUGUAGAUUUGCCUAAAGACGUGAGAGCAUUACUUCAAACGCCACGAAAUGCAUCUGUAAAUAUUAAAUCUCUGGGUAAUGGUCGCUACUUACAUUUUGGUAUUUUUUCUCCUUUAAAGCGAUCCAUACAAAUAUAUUCUGAAUUUAUUACUGGGAACAAAAUAAAAUUAAAUAUUAAUAUUGAUGGCUUACCAAUUUCCAAAAGUUCAGGUAGCCAAUUUUGGCCCAUAAUGGCAUCUAUUGAAGAUGUAGAUACGUAUACAUCACCUUUUAUAAUUGGUAUUUAUCAUGGCAUGUGCAAACCUAAUAACGCUAACGAUUUUUUGUUUGACUUUGUUAAUGAUUUUAUUCUUCUUUUUCAAACAGGCAUCAUUGUUUCUAAUAAAAAAUAUACAGUAACUCUUAAUGCAAUAUUAUGUGAUGCCCCGGCGAAAUCAUUUAUUACCUACACAAAAGGUCAUACAGGAUAUUUCUCUUGCCCUAAAUGUAUUCAGGAAGGUGAUUUUGUACGUAAUAGAGUAGUUUUUCCAGAAAUUCACAACAUGUUACGUACAAAUGACACAUUUAAAAAUCGUACACAUAUUGAACAUCACACAGGUGAUUCUAUAUUAGAAAAACUCGCGAUUGGAAUGAUAUCCCAAAUCCCAUUAGAUUAUAUGCACCUUGUUUGCUUAGGUGUUGUCAAGCGAUUGCUGCAACUAUGGGUCAGAGGAAAUAGAAAUAUUAGAUUAUCUUCAGAGGCUGUAAAUUCAAUUUCGUGUUAUUUAAUUGCAUUGAAACCCUUUAUUCCAGCAGAAUUUGCAAGAAAACCUAGAGGUUUAAAUGAUAUUGAUAGAUGGAAAGCUACAGAAUUUCGCCAAUUUCUGCUUUAUACCGGAAUUGUUGUUAUGAAAUUAGUAUUGCCUACAAAUUGCUACAAUCAUUUUCUUUCUCUUAGUGUUGGGAUUAGAAUAUUAACUGAUGAAGAACUAUGUGUGCCAUUCAACGCUUAUGCGAAUUUGUUGUUAUUGUACUUUGUUUCGAAUUACGGAAAUAUUUAUGGCGACGAGUAUAUGUCGCAUAACGUUCACAAUCUUCUACAUCUUUCCAAUGAUGUACAAAAUUUUGGUUCUUUAGAUAACUUUAGUUGCUUUAAAUUUGAAAAUUAUAUGCAACAGAUUAAAAAAAAAUUACAUCAAUCGGGAGCACCUUUAGAAGAGUUUUGUAAUCGCACUUUUGAAGAAUUACAGCUUCCCAUUCAAUCAUGUAAAAUGCAACAAUAUCCGAUUGUUUUUUAUAAGAAAAAUAACGCCAUUUCUCAUGUCCAAUUCAAAAAUUUUAAAAUUGCAGCCAAUGAAGCUGAUAACUGUGCUAUACUUUGUGAUAAAUCUGUAAUAUUUAUCUUGGAUAUAUUUAAAGAAGACUGUGUUUGUUAUAUUCGUGCAAAACGUUUUUUAAAUCCAAAGGCUUUUUUUCAUAUACCCUGCUCGUCAGAAAGACUUGGAAUAUUUUUAAUAUCAAAUACUACUACUACAGACAUAAUUAAAAUUUCAAUAACGCAAGUAAAAAAGAAGUGUUUCAAAAUUAAAUGUGUUGAUGAAAUUGGUUCUUAUAUUACAAUACCAUUGCAAGCCACUAAUAAUUAGAUGUUAUAACUUUUUGGUUGAAUAUAUUUCAAUUUUUUUCAUUUUUGUAUGCGUACGCUUUAUAUGAUUAAAUUUAUAUGCAUUAUAUGCAAUAAACGUACGAUUCUUUUGUCUUUAUAUGAAAUAUUGCAAAUACAAAUUUUGAUGGAUUUUUAGUUCAUGACUAAAAAUAUUUCAAAGUUUUUGAAACGUUAUACAUUUCCCACAUUUUCCACAAGAUGAGUUGUGAAAAUAAGAAAUAUGCAGUAGUUAAAUUUUUAUCAGAUUCUACAUAUUCUGAAAUUCCAACAGCAUGGCUUUUUAAAGAUAAGGAGGAUAUUCAGCAAUGUUGGUGGCCACCUCGAACGGCAAACAGUGCAACAUUAAUAAUAAACUGUGAAAGUCCCGAUUCUACAUGGAAUAGUUAUGAAGUGGAUAUCGUAAAAUAUUGUACAUCUCUUGAAUCAGCUCGAAAGAAUGCAGCAGAUUCUAAUUAUAGCACAACCGACGAAGAACGACUGGGCCGAGGAAAGAGGCAACGUAUUUUGUAUAGUCGUUUCAGCGAUGAAGAAGAAUAUGAUCAUCAAUCUCAACCUCGAAAAUAUACGAAAA
Molecule: RNA transcript, 2555 nt
Organism: Formica exsecta
Lineage: Eukaryota; Metazoa; Arthropoda; Insecta; Hymenoptera; Formicidae
Exons: 3
Source: RefSeq, a predicted model, not a curated record